AGCUGGGCCCAGCCUCUGCUUCAGGCAAAGGUGCGGAGAUGCUGGCUGAAGGUGGCAGUUAGAGCCGUGUGGUGAGGCUGACUAACCCUGGACUUCCUCGGUCCUGGGACAGUCAGGUUGGUGGCAUGGGACCUGGCACGGGGAUGGGAGCUUAGACAGCCCUCUCGACGUGACCUCAUUUGAUGCUACAACUGGGCCACAGGAUGAUUAUGCUAUUGUUUUAGAACGCCGUGUUGUCAUUUUCUGAUUACAGAAGCCAUCAUGGUCGAGGGGUGGUGGUGUUAGCUGCGCUCAGGGGUGAGAAUCCGUCAGGCUCAGCAGCAACAACACCAAGGAGUAUUUUGGCCCUGGGGACACAGCCGGGGCCCCGGGAAAAGAAGCCUGGUCAGGACCCUCUGCUCCACCCAAAAGUCGGCCCCCAGUCCUCUGCACGACCUGCUGAUGUGUCCUCACACGCCAUUUUACAGGCCAGAAAGCUGAGGCUGGGGAGGGGUGAAGGUCACUUGGCCAAGGUCACACAUGACCUAGAGGCUGACUGUGAGUUGGAACCUGGUGUUGUCUGACUACAGAAGCCCUGCCCCCCCCGCUCAUCUCACUGCCUCACAGGAUGCAGGCCACCAGAUCCGGACAGAGAGCUCCUCAGCUAAUUUCCUGGUCUAGAGGCAUUCCCACCGCCAACCCGGGUGGUGAUUAACCACCUCCUUGGUGGUCAAGGAGAAGCGAGCGUCACCAGGACUCCCCCCUGUGCUGAGCCCUGAGGACCACAGCAUGAGGGCCGCCCUCAUCAGCCCUCCCUGAAGGACCAGUGGAGGGUGAUGGGUGAACCCUUCACUACCUAAACUGUGAAACCGAAGGCUGAGCAGAGGGUGGUUCUCCUCUUCUGAGACGAAACCUCUGUUCUGUUCACCCCAACCAGCAACUCUGUGGGGUGCUCUGUGCAGAUCGCCAGCGUGGUCACUGCCACCUGGAUUCAGUGCACACCCCUACUCUCGUGGCCCACAGCUGCUGCCACCAAAAUGUGGACUUCCAGAUCAGGGCUGUUGGGUGGCAUUCCAUGAUGUGUCCCUCUUACAGGUUAAAAAAAACUUCGGGAACACGGAGACUUCACACACCUAUAUGAAGUAUUUAAGACACAAACACACCCAGAUGGGGCUGCAGUUACAGCACUAGAGAUGCUGAUCCGAGCUGUCCCCCACCAACCCCUGGAAGGAUGGCCGGCUCCCAUCACCCCACCAGUCAAAGGAAUUGGGUCUUGGAUGGUCAGUGACCUACAGCCUGGUGUGAAAUGUGGGCUGAGCUAAUCAGAUCGUCUCCUUCAGGUGUUUGGACUCAGAACAGAGGAGGUAAGUUGCCCAUGGAAAAGGGUAGAAGGUGUCACUGGAGGAGGGUAGGAAAGGUGUCCAUGGAGGAGGGUAGGGAAGGUGUCCAUGGAGGAGGGUAGGGGAGGUGUCACUGGAGGAGGGGAGGGAAGGUGUCCAUGGAGGAGGGUAGGGGAGGUGUCACUGGAGGGUAGGGAAGGUGUCCAUGGAGGAGGGUAGGGGAGGUAUCACUGGAGGAGGGUAAGGAAGGUGCCAUUGGUGGAGGGUAGGGAAGGUACUCAUGGGAGGGUCCCAGGCCUCCUGGUGGGUGCACAGGGUACACAAGGGUCUGUUCACGGAAGCCACUCUGUCUCAAGGCCAGAGAAGAGCCACCACACAAGAGAGAGCCUUUGGUUCCAAGGGGAGUGUCUUCAUGGAGUGGUGCCUGUGGGCCGGUUGUCGGAACCUGAGCUGGCCAUGCUAGCUCCCUGUGCAGUGCCCCAUUGUGUCUCCACAGGAGUCCCUUUGUGUCCAGUAUCCUGGAUACUUUGGGACACUGCUGAGCCCAUGGCAAUGUUCCCAAGCCCCAGGGUUGGGAUACCAAGUCACCUGAAGGGAAGUGAUACACAGAUGCACACUGUCUGCAUCCUUGACCUGUCCCUGGAGCCUCAGGAUGGGCUCUGGAGGCUACCCCGGCUCUGGGAUGAGGAUUCCUGAGCAGGCAAUUUAGGGGCUGAGGAGGGAGGAGGUGACCAAGCCAGGAAGCCUAUCAUGGAUUGAAUUGUGUCCACCAAAAAUGUCAACUUGGCUAGGCCAUGAUUCCCAGCAUUGUGUGGUUGUUCAACAUUCUGUGAUUUUCCUGUGUGCUGUAAACCCUACCGAUAUGACGUUAACGAGAUGGGUUAGCAGCAGUUAUGCUGAUGAGAUCUACACGUGUCUUAAGCCAAUCUCUUUCGAGACAUGAGAAAGAAAGAUGAGCGGAGAGACAGGGGACUUUAUACCCCCAAGAAAAAGCAGUGCCGGGAGAAGAGCACAUCCUUUGGACCAGGAGUUCUCACAUGGAGAAUCUCCUAAAUCCAGGGCAAGGCUGAUGACAAGGACCUUCCUCCAGAACUGACAGAGAAAGCAUUCCCCUGGAGCUGACGCUCUGAUUUUGGACUUGUAGCCUACUAUACCGUGAGAGAAUAAAUUUCUCUUUGUUACAGCCAUCCACUUGUGGGACUUCUGUUCCAGCAGCACUAGGUGACUAAGACAAAGCCACUGGAGGUGAUUUCAGGCCAAGCCCUGAGUAAGAGCGGCAGCCUGACCCACAGUUGUUGUCUCGGGAUGAGUUGGCUGCGAUUUGUUCAGAAUUGGUGUUACUUCAUUCUUAAAUGUUUGGGAGAAUUUACCAGCAAAGCUACCUGGGCCUAGAGUUUUCUUUGUGAGAAAGUCUUAAACUCCAAAUUCAAUUUUUUAAUAGUUGUAGUACUACAAUUCAGGUUAGUUAUUCCUUUUUGAGUCAGCUUUGGUAGUUUGUGUCUUAAAAGAAGUUUUCCAUUUCAUGUUCCUUUUCUGGCAUAAGUCGUUGGUGAUAUUCCUGUACCAUCCUUUUAAUACCUGUAGAAUCUGGUAGUGAUGGCACCUCUCUCACUCCCGGUAGUGAUGACUCGGCAUUGUUCCUUAUUCCCCACCCCCCAACCCCCCAUCAAUCUGGCUGGAGGCUUAUCUACUUUAUUGAUCUCAAAGAACCAAUUUUCAGUUAAUGGAUUUUUCUCUAGUUUUUCUGUUUUCUUUUUGAUUGAUUUAUGUCCUUAUCUUUCUUAUUUCUUCUUCUUGCUUUGGGUUUAAUUUGCUUUUCUCUUUGUAAUUUCUUAAGGUCUCAGUAUCUGGUCCACUUAGCAGUUUUAUUUGUGUCAAUUAGGAGUCUAGUUUACGCAGCAGUCUCUUGGAGUUGAAUCAUGUGUGACUCCUUGCCUCCAGGAUGAUCAGCUCUGGCCCCCAGACUAGAACAAGCUUCUGCCCUGGCAAUGGAAAGGAUUAGAUUCAUGGACCGCUAUAACAGCCCCGAAGCCUGGCGCUCUGUGAGGCCUGGCCCGUGAAGUCAAAAACCCCUCUCACUUCCUCGCCAUUAAUAGAACAAUUGUUAACGUAGUCAAAAGACGAGCCUUAUCCCAUUGUACCAAGAGCUAGGAAACUUUUAAAACUGGCAUCCUUAUUCAAUUAGGCUCAUAAAACAUCUGAGUGGCUGCUGUAAGUGCCUGGUCCUGUGUCAGGCACCAGGCACACAGAGAUGAACGAGCAUCUGUUACGUAAAUCUUGUAAUUUAUGGUCUGUCAUCCUACAGUUGCUCCACAGGCCAGUUUAUUUUCAGAUGAUGGAAUUUAGGCUCAUUAGCCGUACAAUUAUGGAGCUGAGACGAACUCUGGAGGCCAUUCAAUCCAACUCCCUCAUUUUAGAGAGGAGGAAGCUGAGGCUCAGAGAAGUCAGGGCUGUGUGCUGAGGUCACACAAGAUAUAAAUGGCAGUGCCAGCUGAAACCCAGAUCCAGCUUGUCAGAAUGGUCUCAGGUGCCAGGGGACACAAGCUGCACAAACACAUUGACAGGAAUCUGCUUUUAAUGUAAACCACUACAGACACACGCUAUACCUUCAGUGGACGGAAUUCCUGCUGGGAAGGAUGGCAGGUGCACUGCAGAUAGCAAGAGCUCAGUAAGAUGUUGUAUUGAAUGAAGGAAGCUAGUUGAUGAGGCUGUUUAUCUAUGUAUGCAACCUAAAGCCAUUUUGUCACAUAUUCUGCCAGUUAAAAAAAAGGCCCAUAAGAUCAGACCCUUAACAAAAUUCUUCCGAAAGAUUGUAAUAGAAAAAAAUACUGUGUGCCAUAUUUUCUGAAUUUGUCGUAGCUUAAAAAAUUUUAGCAUUUUACUUUUCCCAGAUGUAAUGGACUGAAUUGUGCCCCUCAAGGUAUGUGUUACACCUAGGCCAAUCGGUGUAACAAAGCUUAUUAAGAAAAUGUUCUGCAUACCACUUUGGCGAGUGGCGUCGGAGGUCUUAAAAGCUAGGGAGUGGCCAUCUAAGAUGCAUCAAUUGGUCCCAAGCCACCUGGAGCAAAAGAGAAUGAAGGACAGCAAAGACACAACGAAAAUAAGGGCCCAAGAGACAGAAAGGACCACAUAAACCAGAGACUCUAUCAGCCUGAGACUGGAAGACCUAGACUGGGUACCACCAAUGACUGCCCUGACAGCGAACACAACAGAGAGUCCCUGCUGGAGCAUGGCCAAAAGCGGGGUGCAGAACUCAAAUUCUAGUAAAAAGACCAGACUUGUUUGUCUGACUGAGACUGGAGGGCCCCUAAAGGACAUGGUCCCUGGACCCUGUUAGCCCAGAACUAAAACCAUUCCUGAAGCCAACUCUUGAGACAAAGAUCAGAUUGGAGCCUAAGACAUAACAUGAUGCUGGUGAAAAGUGUGCUUCUUGGCUCAAGUAGAUACAUGAGACUAAAUGGGCAGCUCCUGUUUGGAGGCGAGAUGAGAAGGCAGAAGGGGACAGGAGCUUAGGUUGAAUGGACACGGGAAAUACAGGGUGGAGAGAAGGAGUGUGCUGUCACAUGGUAGGGAGAGCAACUAGGGUCACAUAACAAUGUGUGUAUAAGUUUUUGUAUGAGAAACUGACUUGAACUGUAAACUUUCACUUAAAGCACAAUUAAAAAAAUAAAAGAUGUGUGUUGCAAGCCCUAACUCCUUAAGCAUUUGGCUGCUAACCAAAAAGUCAGCAGCUUGAAUCCACGAGGCACUCCUUGGAAACAUUAUGGGACAGUCACUAGGAGUUAGAAUCGACUCGACAGCAACAGGUUUUGUUUUUUUUAUACCUGUGGAAAGGAGCCCUGGUGGCGCAGUGGUUUAAGUGCU
This is a long non-coding RNA of Loxodonta africana (African savanna elephant), 5183 nucleotides long. RefSeq lists it as uncharacterized. The record is from RefSeq and is a predicted model, not a curated record. The transcript is spliced from 3 exons. NCBI's taxonomy places the organism in Eukaryota, Metazoa, Chordata, Mammalia, Proboscidea, Elephantidae.